RNAcentral lists this transfer RNA (77 nucleotides) under Gammaproteobacteria bacterium. RNAcentral describes it as "tRNA-Arg". It matches the Rfam family "tRNA". From Rfam's summary of the family: Transfer RNA (tRNA) molecules are approximately 80 nucleotides in length. The record is from RNAcentral. Lineage: Bacteria; Pseudomonadati; Pseudomonadota; Gammaproteobacteria. RNAcentral also lists the same sequence under 1 other name.
GCGCUCGUAGCUCAGCUGGAUAGAGUACCUGGCUACGAACCAGGCGGUCNGAGGNUCGAAUCCUCNCGAGCGCGCCA